UUCCGUUGAAUGUUGUUCUGGUUCUUUCUGAUUUUCCUCAACUUCAGUAACCACAGGUUCACCUUUUACUGUUUCUGUAGGCUCAACUUCAGUAGCCACAGGUUCUUCUUUUACCGUUUCUGUAGCUUGAACUUCAGUAGCCACAGGUUCUUCUUUUACCAUUUCUCUAGGAUCAACUUCAGUAACCACAGGUUUGACUUUUACUGAUUCUGUCAGAUCAACUUCAGUAACCAGGGGUUCUUUUACUGUUUUUGUAAUUUCAACUUCUGUAGCCACAGCUUCUUCUUUUACUGUCUCUGUAGGAUCAACUUCAGUAACUAUAGGUUCGUCUUUUACCGUUUCUGUUGCCUCGAAUUCAGUAGCUGCAGGUUCAUCUUUUACCAUUUCUGUAGGCUCAACUACAGUUGUCACAGGUUCUUCUUUUACGGUUUCUGUAGCUUCAACUUCAGUAGCCACAGAUUCUUCUUUUACUGUUUCUGUAGCUUCAACUUCAGUAGCCACUGGUUCUUCUUUUACUGUUUCUGUAGCUUCAACUUCAGUAGCCACUGGUUCUUCUUUUACUGUUUCUGUAGCUUCAACUUCAGUAGCUGCAGGUUCGUCUUUUACCGUUUCUGUAGCCUCAACUUCAGUUGCCACAGGUUCUUCUUUUACCGUUUCUGUAGGCUCAACUUCAGUAGCCACGGGUUCUUCUUUUACUGUUUCUGUAGCUUCAGCUUCAGUAGCUAGAGGUUCUUCUUUUACCGUUUCUGUAGGAUCAACUUCAGUAACCACAGGUUCGUCUUUUACGGUUUCUGUAACCUUAACUUCAGUAGCUGCAGGUUCUUCUUUUACUGUUUCCGUAGCCUCAACUUCAGUAGCCACAAGUUCUUCUUUUAGUGUUUCUGUAGCCUCAACUUCAGUAACCACGGGUUCUUCUUUUACUAUCUCUGCA
This 931-nucleotide long non-coding RNA is filed under the name Medicago truncatula (barrel medic). RNAcentral's name for it is "long non-coding RNA (MTRU_LNC006373)". The record is from RNAcentral. Lineage: Eukaryota; Viridiplantae; Streptophyta; Magnoliopsida; Fabales; Fabaceae.